GUCUUUUUGUUUAAAAUUUAAAGUCUAACCUGCCCAAUGAUUAUUUUAAUGGCUGCGGUAUUUUGACCGUACAAAGGUAGCAUAAUCAUUAGUUUUUUAAUUGAAAACUUGUAUGAAUGGUUGAACGAGAAAAUUACUGUCUCAAUUUGAAUUAAUUAGAAUUUUAUUUUUAAGUUAAAAAGCUUAAAUUUAAAUAAAAGACGAGAAGACCCUAUAGAGUUUAAUAUGUAUUUAAAAUAAUUAUUAAGAAUUUAAUAAUUUUAAAUAAAUAUUUUAUUGGGGUGAUAAAUAAAUUUAAUUAACUUUAUUAAAUUUAAAUCAUUAAUUUAUGAAUUAUUGAUCCAAAUUUUUUGAUUAAAAGAUUAAAUUACCUUAGGGAUAACAGCGUUAUUUUUUUUGAGAGUUCUUAUCGAAAAAAAAGAUUGCGACCUCGAUGUUGGAUUAAAAUUAAUUUUUGGUGUAGAAGCUAAACUAUUAAGUCUGUUCGACUUUUAAUUUUUUACAUGAUCUGAGUUUAAAUCGGUGUGAGCCAGAUUGGUUUCUAUCUUUAUUAAAUUAAAAUAUUUUAGUACGAAAGGACCAAAUAUUUAUAAAAUUUAUUAUAUUUUGAAUAU
This 614-nucleotide ribosomal RNA is filed under the name Ochthebius striatus. RNAcentral's name for it is "partial 16S ribosomal RNA". It matches the Rfam family "Bacterial large subunit ribosomal RNA", at positions 1819 to 2768 of the family's 2925-position model. The record is from RNAcentral. Lineage: Eukaryota; Metazoa; Arthropoda; Insecta; Coleoptera; Hydraenidae.